UACGUAGGUGGCAAGCGUUGUCCGGAUUUAUUGGGCGUAAAGGGAGCGCAGGUGGUUUCUUAAGUCUGAUGUGAAAGCCCACGGCUUAACCGUGGAGGGUCAUUGGAAACUGGGGAACUUGAGUGCAGAAGAGGAAAGUGGAAUUCCAAGUGUAGCGGUGGAAUGCGUAGAUAUUUGGAGGAACACCUGUGGCGAAGGCGACUUUCUGGUCUGUAACUGACACUGAGGCUCGAAAGCGUGGGGAGCGAACAGGAUUAGAUACCCUGGUAGUCCCUGA
Molecule: ribosomal RNA, 277 nt
Filed under: uncultured prokaryote
Description: partial 16S ribosomal RNA
Rfam family: Bacterial small subunit ribosomal RNA
Source: RNAcentral